RNAcentral lists this ribosomal RNA (423 nucleotides) under uncultured bacterium. RNAcentral's name for it is "bacterial SSU rRNA". It matches the Rfam family "Bacterial small subunit ribosomal RNA", at positions 507 to 929 of the family's 1533-position model. The record is from RNAcentral.
GCCAGCAGCCGCGGUAAUACGAAGGGUGCAAGCGUUACUCGGAAUUACUGGGCGUAAAGCGUGCGUAGGUGGUCGUUUAAGUCCGUUGUGAAAGCCCUGGGCUCAACCUGGGAACUGCAGUGGAUACUGGACGACUAGAGUGUGGUAGAGGGUGGCGGAAUUCCUGGUGUAGCAGUGAAAUGCGUAGAGAUCAGGAGGAACAUCCAUGGCGAAGGCAGCUACCUGGACCAACACUGACACUGAGGCACGAAAGCGUGGGGAGCAAACAGGAUUAGAUACCCUGGUAGUCCACGCCGUAAACGAUGUCGACUUGGGGGUUGUGCCCUUGAGGCGUGGCUUCCGGAGCUAACGCGUUAAGUCGACCGCCUGGGGAGUACGGCCGCAAGGUUAAAACUCAAAUGAAUUGACGGGGGCCCGCACAAG